Long non-coding RNA from Thunnus maccoyii (southern bluefin tuna), 1424 nucleotides. RefSeq lists it as uncharacterized. Lineage: Eukaryota; Metazoa; Chordata; Actinopteri; Scombriformes; Scombridae. The transcript is spliced from 3 exons. The record is from RefSeq and is a predicted model, not a curated record.
AUGUACAGUACUGACAUGGAUGAUUACUGGGAGGAUCUUGGUCAGAAGUGCUGGGGAGAAGAUGGGGACAGCUCUGAUGAGCUAUUUUACAUACAGCCUCAUCUAAAACCUUCCACAUCAACCAACUCCAUGAAAUAAGCAUGGAUGAAGCCGUGCUUGAUGUGUCAAUGCCCCGUCCUUCAGACGAGGACAUGCAAGUCAUUCCCGACCAACAAAAAGUUCUUUGUGAGAGUGACUUGGUUGGGAAAAGGGCGAGCAUCACUUAUGACGACGAUCAGCAUUAACUCACCAUGUUCCUGCAGCUACCAAUGCAAAUGGACAAUUACUCAAACACAGUGACCAGGGCGGCAUGCCCUGGUAAUCCUCCAUUUCAGGCCACUCUGCACAGUACUGCACAUACACAACCACAGAACAGGAUUCAAGAGACAUUGUGCAUAUUGUGACCGUUGACAAGCAGAAAUUCCAUCAUUAUGGAGAAGGAGUGCUUCAUUAGGAACCUGGACGUACUCCCUCAGGAAAUUCUUGUGAAAGAAGUGGUCACCAAUGCCCAUGCACAGAUAAUGGCAUUGCUUAGUAAAUAUUUUUCGGAUUCCUGAUUUUGUCUUGGCAGUUGUUUGGAUCUGUAACAAACAGUAUAGCAUUACAGUCAGAGUGUGGCAUUCGACAAAGUAUUUGGGCAAAAAGCUAUGACAGGUAUGCCAUUUCCCAAACUUAUUUUACUUGCUCAACCAAGGUUAAUUGUAGUCUCUAACCUGUUUUGGUAAAGAUUGGAUUUUCACAUGUCAACACCUCACUGAAAAAAAAACAAGAACUUUAUUUAGUGGCUUAUUUAAAACUAAUGUUAUUUAGUGGCAACAUGUUUAAGAUGAGGAGAUUCACACCUGAUGGGGAUCAUUUUUAGUUGAGACACUAACUGUCCAUGUUUCGCCAGCUCUUUCUCCAAAAGCUCAUUUCUCAGGAACUGGGGCACAUUAGAAAUAAUGACCUGGCAGGAUUUACUAGUGAUGACACGGGGUGAAAGUAUCUUUAAUCACUACUCUGCUCUCAAGCAACUAAUUCACUUUUUCUGUACUGUCUAGAAAAAUCACAUUAGUACUGUUCAUUUUAGAUACAGAUUCCAUAGCCAACAGCCUCACCUACAGCUAGACUACACUCUUCAACCGAACACUCAACAGCCAAAGAAAGUUUUUAAUGGUGUGUUGACGUGUUAGUUUGUGUAAGCCAGAGCUCCCACCUGCAGCCAUGCUGGCCAGUCACACCAGCAGCCACCGCUGCCGCCUCCACAAACGAGUAGAAAAACAAGCAAGAAGAGCCGACACACGCCGACACACUGUCAGCAGCACUCACUACGCUUACUACCAGCAUGCAUUCAAAGAGAGAGAGAGAGAGAGAGUAGGGAUAAAGAGAACAUAGUACAAUACAAG